This 119-nucleotide ribosomal RNA is filed under the name Pteropus alecto (black flying fox). The record is from RNAcentral. Lineage: Eukaryota; Metazoa; Chordata; Mammalia; Chiroptera; Pteropodidae.
GUCUAUGGCCAUGUCACCCUGAACCAGCCCGAUCCCGUCUGAUCUCGGAAGCUAAGCAGGGUCGGGCCUGGUUAGUACUUGGAUGGGAGACCACCAAGUAAGACCAGGUGCUGUAGGCG